Molecule: long non-coding RNA, 1180 nt
Filed under: Homo sapiens (human)
Lineage: Eukaryota; Metazoa; Chordata; Mammalia; Primates; Hominidae
Description: HSALNT0364286
Source: RNAcentral
UCUUGAACUUCAGUUUCAUUCCUACAAUGAGUGCUGGGAUAAUAACCUGAAGAUCUUUCCAUUCUCUGUUUUUAAUGCAACAUAACUUUUUGAAAGAAUGUGUAAAAUAGGUUGGAUUUUCUAUUUUACUAAAGCCUUACAGAAGCACCUCUGAGACUCAAUCAGUGAAACAAACCCAAGGCCACGCUUGGCAUUUAGUGAAGAAAGAGUGAAAGAGGAAUUGGAAUGGUUACCUUGGAGAUCCUGGAGAAAGUAGAAAAACGAUGACAGCAAAUAUCUGUAUGGUACGCACAAGUAAAGCUCUUAGGACUGUGCCAGGCACAGAGUGAGGGCUACAUAAGCAUCUGAUAUUGCUAUUGUUAUCAUUGUUGUCAAUCUUAACAAGAACCAGGAUGUAUGACUCUACUAUUAACAUACCAAUUUUGCAGAUUAUAAAACCAGAGGAUUAGGUUUUACUCAGGAUACAUGCCAGGUUGUAUCAGACACCUCCAAUACCAUAGCUUCAAUAGGAUAUAAUGUUUUUUCCUCUAUCCUAAAAUAUUCAAGCAGGUAGUCCACUGUUGGUAGGGCAACUCACCAUUAUCUGGGACCUGAACCCUUCUAUCUUUUUACUCUUUCAUUCUCAGUGAGGCUUCCACUUUGCAGUUCCAGAUGACUGCUCUAGCUCUCAGCUUCAUGUCGACAUUCCAAAGGAAUAUGGGCAAUACUUUCUUUUCAUUGAAGGAAAAAGCUCAGGAAUUGCACACAAUUUCUGUUGAUUUCACAUUGACCACAAUUUAAUCACAUGGCUAUACUCAUCUGCAAGGGACACUGAAGUGUACUAUUUAGCUGAGAGUUCAAAUACCCAGCUAAAAAGUAUAUAUUCACGUAAGAAGGAGAAAAAGUUAUUAGGUGGCAACCAGCAGUCUCUGCCACAGAGAUGUUAAGGAGAUUGCUCAAGAAAGCAUGAAUAUUAAGUAAUAAUGCUAGGAUUUGAAUGUAGGCAGUGUCAUUUCAGACAAACUCCCUUGCUCUGAAACUUCCUCUCCAGCCUAUGAGUUAAGUCAAAUAGGCAUGAUGAUACAGGCUUGCACGCAUCUCAGGCAAGUACCUAACAAGCAUUUACAGCAGUUUCUCAAUCUUUCUUAACCCACUCUCUUCUAAUAAAUAUUACAUUGUUACUCCCGUCUCCUCCCUUCCC